This 400-nucleotide ribosomal RNA is filed under the name uncultured bacterium. RNAcentral describes it as "bacterial SSU rRNA". It matches the Rfam family "Bacterial small subunit ribosomal RNA", at positions 355 to 772 of the family's 1533-position model. The record is from RNAcentral.
UGGGGAAUAUUGGACAAUGGGCGAAAGCCUGAUCCAGCAAUGCCGCGUGAGUGAAGAAGGCCUUCGGGUUGUAAAGCUCUUUUACCCGGGAAGAUAAUGACUGUACCGGGAGAAUAAGCCCCGGCUAACUCCGUGCCAGCAGCCGCGGUAAUACGGAGGGGGCUAGCGUUGUUCGGAAUUACUGGGCGUAAAGCGCACGUAGGCGGUCUUUUAAGUCAGAGGUGAAAGCCCGGGGCUCAACUCCGGAAUUGCCUUUGAAACUGGGAGACUUGAACACGGGAGAGGUGAGUGGAAUUCCGAGUGUAGAGGUGAAAUUCGUAGAUAUUCGGAGGAACACCAGUGGCGAAGGCGGCUCACUGGACCGUUGUUGACGCUGAGGUGCGAAAGCGUGGGGAGCAAA